AUUGCGCAAUGGGCGAAAGCUUGACGCAGCGACGCCGCGUGUGGGAUGAAGGAUCUAGGGUUGUAAACCACUUUCAGGAGGGAAGAAAAUGACGGUACCUCACACAAGAAGGCCCCGGCCAACUACGUGCCAGCAGCCGCGGUAAUACGUAGGGGGCGUAGCGCUUGUCCGGAUUUAUUGGGCGUAAAGAGCUCCGAGGCGCUUCAACAAGUCGGUCGCGAAAGUUCGAGGUGCUCAACCCUGAAAUGUCGAUCGAUACUGUUUGUGACUAGAAUGCGGUAGAGGUGAGUGGAAUUCCGAGUGUAGCGGUGAAAUGCGUAGAUAUUCGGAGGAACACCAAUUGCGAAGGCUGCUCACUGGGCCGCUAUCGACGCUGAGGAGCGAAAGCUAGGGGAGCAAACAGGAUUAGAUACCCUGGUAGUCCUAGCUGUAAACGAUGGAUACUAGACGUAGGAACUGGAUUGACGGUUUCUGUGUCGUAGCUAACGCGUUAAGUAUCCCGCCUGGGGAGUACGGUCGCAAGACUA
This 527-nucleotide ribosomal RNA is filed under the name uncultured Actinomycetes bacterium. Its description in RNAcentral is "bacterial SSU rRNA". It matches the Rfam family "Bacterial small subunit ribosomal RNA", at positions 363 to 896 of the family's 1533-position model. Lineage: Bacteria; Bacillati; Actinomycetota; Actinomycetes. The record is from RNAcentral.